GGGCCCGCACAAGCGGUGGAGUAUGUGGUUUAAUUCGAUGCAACGCGAAGAACCUUACCAGGGUUUGACAUCCUGCGAAUCUCUUGGAAACAGGAGAGUGCCUUCGGGAACGCAGUGACAGGUGGUGCAUGGCUGUCGUCAGCUCGUGUCGUGAGAUGUUGGGUUAAGUCCCGCAACGAGCGCAACCCACGUCUUUAGUUGCCAGCAUUUAGUUGGGCACUCUAGAGAGACUGCCGGUGAUAAACCGGAGGAAGGUGUGGAUGACGUCAAGUCAUCAUGCCCCUUACAUCCUGGGCUACACACGUGCUACAAUGGUCGGUACAGAGGGCUGCCAACCCGCGAGAGCUAGCAAAUCCCAUAAACCGUGGCUCAGUUCAGAUCGUAGGCUGCAACUCGCCUACGUGAAGUAGGAAUCGCUAGUAAUCG
RNAcentral lists this ribosomal RNA (426 nucleotides) under uncultured bacterium. RNAcentral's name for it is "bacterial SSU rRNA". It matches the Rfam family "Bacterial small subunit ribosomal RNA", at positions 917 to 1344 of the family's 1533-position model. The record is from RNAcentral.